AGCCUCCUGAAUCCGUGCAGAGAUUUCGUCAGACACCAACCUAUUAGGGCUGAUGAGACUUCCAAGAUAUGUGAAGUU
Molecule: non-coding RNA, 78 nt
Organism: Schistosoma mansoni
Lineage: Eukaryota; Metazoa; Platyhelminthes; Trematoda; Strigeidida; Schistosomatidae
Source: Rfam